GACUGCCUCGGAUAACGGGGAGGAAGGUGGGGAUGACGUCAAGUCAGCAUGGCCUUUAUGUCCAGGGCCACACACGUGCUACAAUGGACGGUACAGAGGGACGCAAGACCGCAAGGUGGAGCAAAUCCUCAAAACCGUUCUCAGUUCGGAUUGUAGGCUGCAAUUCGCCUACAUGAAGCUGGAAUUGCUAGUAAUCGCAGAUCAGCUACGCUGCGGUGAAUACGUUCUCGGGCCUUGUACACACCGCCCGUCACAUCACGAAAGCUGGUGGAACCAGAAGUCACUGGUCUAACCCGCAAGGGAUGAAGGUGCCAAAGGCUUUGCUAGUGAUUGGGGUGAAGUCGUAACAAGGUAGCCGUACGGGAACGUGCGGCUGGAUCACCUCCUUAU
RNAcentral lists this ribosomal RNA (390 nucleotides) under ANME-2 cluster archaeon. Its description in RNAcentral is "bacterial SSU rRNA". It matches the Rfam family "Bacterial small subunit ribosomal RNA", at positions 1147 to 1533 of the family's 1533-position model. Lineage: Archaea; Methanobacteriati; Methanobacteriota; Methanomicrobia; Methanosarcinales. The record is from RNAcentral.